Molecule: ribosomal RNA, 301 nt
Filed under: uncultured bacterium
Lineage: Bacteria
Description: partial 16S ribosomal RNA
Rfam family: Bacterial small subunit ribosomal RNA
Source: RNAcentral
CAGUCGCCGCGGGAAAACGUAGGUGGCAAGCGUUGUCUGGAAUUAUUGGGCGUAAAGCGCGCGCAGGUGGUUCCUUAAGUCUGAUGUGAAAGCCCACGGCUCAACCGUGGAGGGUCAUUGGAAACUGGGGGACUUGAGUGCAGAAGGGGAAAGUGGAAUUCCAAGUGUAGCGGUGAAAUGCGUAGAUAUUUGGAGGAACACCAGUGGCGAAGGCGACUUUCUGGUCUGUAACUGACACUGAGGCGCGAAAGCGUGGGGAGCAAACAGGAUUAGAUACCCGGGUAGUCCCUGUCUCUUAUAC